GUGCAGCACAAGAAGAAGAAAAAAAAAAAAGGAGUCACUCAGGAGCAGCUCUGUCAGCUAUGAAGGUGAUGAUGGUCAUGGCCCUGCUGACCACCACAAGUCAUUGCAUUAACAUCAACGGUAGCAUUGUCAGCCGCGGCGGCUACUUCUCGUCUUCGAGGUGUAACGGUCUCACCGGCACAGCAUGUCGUAUUGCAUACUCCGAGUUGGACUUUGACUUGGAGUUCAUGUUGGGCUCGGAAUUCGGAAUAAGGCUCCUCGCGGAUGGCGGUUCCUACCACCCCACCGAUACAUCAAGAGAAAGGGGACGCUCUGCGUCCUGCAACCGAUUUGGUAAGGACGAUCCCUGCCAUGGUCGGGAAAACAAAAACAUCCCACCAGGUUGCAAGGACCCCACCGAUAGGUCUUGCAACCGCCAUAAUUAG
This 425-nucleotide long non-coding RNA is filed under the name Prunus dulcis (almond). Its description in RNAcentral is "sRNA ncRNA". Lineage: Eukaryota; Viridiplantae; Streptophyta; Magnoliopsida; Rosales; Rosaceae. The record is from RNAcentral.